RNAcentral lists this transfer RNA (85 nucleotides) under Felis catus (domestic cat). It matches the Rfam family "tRNA". Rfam says of the family: Transfer RNA (tRNA) molecules are approximately 80 nucleotides in length. Their secondary structure includes four short double-helical elements and three loops (D, anti-codon, and T loops). Lineage: Eukaryota; Metazoa; Chordata; Mammalia; Carnivora; Felidae. The record is from Rfam by way of RNAcentral.
GCCUGGGUGGCUCAGUCGGUUGAGCAUCUGACUUCAGCUCAGGUCAUGAUCUCGCCAUUCGUGAGUUCGAGCCCCGCGUCGGGCU